GAUGAAUAAAUUAUCAAGGCCCAUUUAUUUUUCAAAAUUAAGUCCUAAAUUUUUUUAAAUUAAGUCCUCCUAAAUCUUAUUUUUAUUUUAAAAAUUUAGCUAAUAAUUCAACUCUUAUAUUUAAGAAAAAUACAAAUUGUUGUAAGAAAUUGAUAUGAAAAAAACUUAAUUUUUAAAACAAAGAAUAAAUAAACGAAAUAGUUGUCAAACGGGAUCGGAGUUCGUAAUAUCAACCUUAAAGUUAGAGGUUGGAACCUAUAGAGGUAGAUCUAUGAAGGAGUGUCACACCCUCUCCCAGAUUACCUUCCCAAUCUUAGGAGGAGAUGCGACGACAGUAGAGGCCAACCUUUUUAUGACAUCCACUGUCCUCCUCAAUCUUAGACACUCACACCCUUGCAUCCUGGUAAUAGCAAUGAAAAUGCAAUCAACUAGAUAUUCCUUAGCAACUUACACAACAAUCUUACAAAAAACACAAUUCAUAUUAUAUCUACAUGUCAAAAUCGUUAAUAUUACAAAGCCCCCUUCUCAAGUUUAUCCUUAUCCCUAAUAUGAACAUAUUAAUUUACAAGCUUAUCCACCCAACUAUUUAAAUUCUGGAUUCCUUUAUAAUAUUGGAUCUUUGAGUAGCAGACUGACAGAUCAUGUAAACCCUUGAACUUGUUUUACUAGUUAAUUAAGUUUAAGUCUUCUUGGUUAUUAAGAUGUGUAUAAGGUCGGUGAAAAAAAAUAGUUAAGUAUGUAUAGUGAAUAAUGUGUCUGAAAUAUAAGAGAAGGAAAAGUUUCUAAGCGUGACUAUAUGCGUUCAGGUUGUAACACGGUUGAUGCGUAGAGAGUUGAAGAAGUCUAUUAAUGUAAGCCAGAAAAGGGCAAGAAAAUAUGUUAAGUAUGGAACGUUGGGUUCUUAGGUGAAGUAGGAACAAGUUAACACCUAAAGAUAGGAGAGACAUGGAAUUGGUAGACGCCAUGUGACUAGAGGACCAAGGAGGGGGCGUUGUGGCUAAGUAUAACAAGUGGUAUGUAGGGUUUAUACGACCAACUUUGUAUACCAUUGUUCAGGGCUAAGCCGACGAAGGAUGCGGUAGACAAUCAUGCAUUGAAGAGAGAAGUUCCGAAUGCUCGCAAGGCCAUGCAAUCAAUCUUAAGAUGAGGAAUUUAGCUUAAUUAAUGAGUAAGUGAGCCAGAUGGCAGCCUUGCAAAUGUCAAUAAAGGGAUAAGCUUGCCAGGUGGCAAUUAAUUAAGCAAACUCUUCAGGUAAACCCAAGUAUAAAUAUGCUUAACCAAGAAGGAGACUGUUUUACCAAAAUUUUUCUAACACCUAAAUGAGGGAGUGUUGUUGCCAUCUAAAGAUUUUGAAAGUUGAAGAACUCUCGAUCCACAAAAAGAAAAUUUGAGGUAUUUCCAUUCGAUUCUGGAGAAAAUAAUGCUCAAAUUCUAAGGCAACUACAUACGAAGAACACGCAAGCAGCUGACUCAGUGAUAUUAUGCCUUAACACGUACAACAUAGCCAGUUCAUAACAAAGGCGUUUGAAGUACGUCGCAUGUAAGCAUUCAUCACAUAGAUUGGGAAGUGUUUCAGCGUUUACCCAAAUACCUUGAGAAAAGACUCCCAAUUGUCAGCCAAGUUACAAGGGCAGACACAAAUAGGAGAGGCGUACAACUCCUUGGAUAAGUAGCUAAAUACAGAGAGUGACAAGUUUUAAUACAUUUUUUCUAAUAAUAUGCGUUGACGCAAGGGGGAAAUUGCGAUCAUAGGAAAUCAUU
Benincasa hispida (wax gourd) is the source of this 1761-nucleotide long non-coding RNA. RefSeq lists it as uncharacterized. The record is from RefSeq and is a predicted model, not a curated record. Lineage: Eukaryota; Viridiplantae; Streptophyta; Magnoliopsida; Cucurbitales; Cucurbitaceae.